Etheostoma spectabile (orangethroat darter) is the source of this 97-nucleotide long non-coding RNA. RefSeq lists it as uncharacterized. Lineage: Eukaryota; Metazoa; Chordata; Actinopteri; Perciformes; Percidae. The transcript is spliced from 3 exons. The record is from RefSeq and is a predicted model, not a curated record.
UAUAAGUUGAGUGGCUGGUCAAAUUUUAACAUUCACUAGCCAAUUUAAUGGUGGACAAAAAAGUUAAUUUUGAACACUGUUUGUCUGUUUCCCCUCU